UAAACUUGUACUUUACUUGGCACUAAAUUUGCAUGUGAAGACGCGUCUCACAAGCAAAGAAACAAUAGUAAAUUAAGCCAAUGAAACCAAACCCAUGCAUUUCCUUCGAGGACUAUAUCAGCUCUCAUAUCAUUUGCAUUAGCAUUACCAUACCAACCAACAUUACCAAUUCCCACUACCAUUGAGAAGAAGGAUAUGGUCUAAGUUAGGUUGUUUCCAUGUUUGAGGGAUGAAUGUGAUGUGUUUCUUCAAGUCUUUGUAACAAAAUAAAACAAGUUUUUUCUUUCAAUUUAAGUUUGUCCAUGAAAUGUUAGCUUCAAGUGCAAUGUAUCAAAUUUUCUCGUCUAUCUCUCUAACAAGUCGAUCAUAGUUUUCUCUAUCUAAAUUUUCUUUUUCAUUUACUUCAACGAAAGGGUAGUUUUGGAUCAAUGUUUGACAUAAAAUCACUCAUCUUAAUUGUUUUAUCUCUAUUUCAAUUUAAUAAGUGAUUUUCACAUAGAUCUAGUUUUUUUGUUGUGAUUUCGUCACUCUGCAGUGUUCUGUUGUUCGUCGUCUUGUGUAGCAUUAUUUGAUUUUUUGUCUUGUUGCGAUGUUCAUUUGGUUCCUAUUGAAAGAUUGUCUUUUCAAUCAAUGAUUUGGGUGUCAACGUUGUCCGGAGAUAUGAGUAUUCCGAUCACUUCUAUUUUAUCUUUUUUUUUUUUUUUAAUAUUUUAUCCUAUUAUUUAUAAGCAUUUUGUCAUUGUAUGCUAUUAACUUCAAUGAUGUGAAUGAUACACUUUAUCAUUUUAAAUGAAUGAAUAUAAUUUUUUUUUUUACAAAUGAAUAUUAUUUUAUUUUUGUUUAAAAAAAAAUAUCAGUGCAACUGUUGUCUUCCUGCAACAUACACAUCCAUCACAUUGGGGGCACCUGGCCCCCACUAAUACUAUAUAUUGUUUUUUUAACUGAUUAUUGAGUAAUUUUACAUAAUCCCUACUAAAUAUUAUGAGUUGCGACGACCAAAAUUAUUGAAUAUUUUAUUUGAGAAGAAAUAAAUGUACAAUAAUAUCGAAGAUAAACUAUUGAUUUUUAUUUUGAUCGAGUAGUUUAGUGACGAAUUCACCUUUUUUAAGGUGAAUAAGUGGGGUGUUCAUGAUUCGAACUCAGUCCCUGUAUAUAAUAAUGCAUGUCCCUACCAACUAAACUAUAUUCACGGGACAACUAUUGAAUUCUAAUUUGGUCACAUACAUAAGAAAAAAAUAUUUUCAGUGAAAAUAAAAAAAAUAAAUAUAAAAUCGUUUAAAAAUACAAG
This 1288-nucleotide long non-coding RNA is filed under the name Medicago truncatula (barrel medic). Its description in RNAcentral is "long non-coding RNA (MTRU_LNC008137)". Lineage: Eukaryota; Viridiplantae; Streptophyta; Magnoliopsida; Fabales; Fabaceae. The record is from RNAcentral.